RNAcentral lists this ribosomal RNA (460 nucleotides) under uncultured bacterium. RNAcentral's name for it is "partial 16S ribosomal RNA". It matches the Rfam family "Bacterial small subunit ribosomal RNA", at positions 338 to 795 of the family's 1533-position model. The record is from RNAcentral.
CCUACGGGUGGCAGCAGUGAGGAAUAUUGGUCAAUGGACGAGAGUCUGAACCAGCCAAGUAGCGUGAAGGAUGACUGCCCUAUGGGUUGUAAACUUCUUUUAUAUGGGAAUAAAAUGUUCCACGUGUGGGAUUUUGUAUGUACCAUAUGAAUAAGGAUCGGCUAACUCCGUGCCAGCAGCCGCGGUAAUACGGAGGAUCCGAGCGUUAUCCGGAUUUAUUGGGUUUAAAGGGAGCGUAGGUGGGUUGUUAAGUCAGUUGUGAAAGUUUGCGGCUCAACCGUAAAAUUGCAGUUGAAACUGGCAGUCUUGAGUACAGUAGAGGUGGGCGGAAUUCCGGGUGUAGCGGUGAAAUGCGUAGAUAUUCGGAGGAACACCGGUGGCGAAGGCGGCCAACUGGGCUUUAACUGACGCUGAGGCUCGAAAGUGUGGGGAGCAAACAGGAUUAGAUACCCCAGUAGUC